UCGACCUGAGAGCAAGCGAGAUUACCCGCCGAAUUUAAGCAUAUUAAUAAGCGGAGGAAAAGAAAACAACAGUGAUUCCCUUAGUAAUGGCGAAUGAAACGGGAAUAGCCCAUCGCCGAAUCGCAGGCCCUCUCGGUCUCGCGAAAUGUGGCGUUUGGGAGAGUCUUCUCGUGGUGUGGACGGCCAGUCAAAGUCCAACUUGACAGUGGCCAUGGCCCGUAGAGGGUGAUAGGCCUGUAAGGCGGCUGUCCUGCUGCGCUGACUUUUCCCUAGAGUCGGGUUGCUUGGGAGUGCAGCCCAAAGUGCGAGGUAAACUCCUCGUAAGGCUAAAUAUGACCCCGAGACCGAUAGCAAACAAGUACCGUGAGGGAAGAUUGAAAAGAACUUUGAAGAGAGAGUUCAAGAGUACGUGAAACUGUGUGGUGGUAAACGGAGGGGCUCUCGAAGUUUCUGAGGGGGACUCAACCUUGGUGGUGGUCGGCCAGGGCGUAUCUGAUCAGCAAUGACUCUGCGCUUUGUCCCGUCUGCCUCCCGGACGCACUUUCUCCUCAGUUUACGGCAGGAACUGUUUGAAGCGAACCUAAGGUCUGUGGUGAAGUUGUCGGUUAUGCUGGCAGCCCGCAGUGUCCUGGCUUUGCGUCAGACRGGUAUGUAAGUGGACUCGUAUAGCGAGCAAUCGACU
RNAcentral lists this ribosomal RNA (682 nucleotides) under Lucicutia flavicornis. RNAcentral describes it as "eukaryotic LSU rRNA". It matches the Rfam family "Eukaryotic large subunit ribosomal RNA", at positions 1 to 622 of the family's 3401-position model. The record is from RNAcentral. Lineage: Eukaryota; Metazoa; Arthropoda; Copepoda; Calanoida; Lucicutiidae.